This is a long non-coding RNA of Columba livia (rock pigeon), 2326 nucleotides long. RefSeq lists it as uncharacterized. The record is from RefSeq and is a predicted model, not a curated record. NCBI's taxonomy places the organism in Eukaryota, Metazoa, Chordata, Aves, Columbiformes, Columbidae. The transcript is spliced from 3 exons.
GGAACAGCAAAGGGGCCAGGUGGUGCCUCAGCAGCAGAGAUGGGCACCUGUGUAGCUUAUUACCUAAUCAGCUUUUAACACAAAGAAGAAACAGAUUUUCCACCAAAAUUCUCUGCUGUUCAGUUAAAUAAACUUUUCAGUUUGAAACAGGAAAGAGGAAUAUUGCUGAAGUCUUUUCAAGGGUCUUUUUUUCCUCCCCUUUUUUUGGGAUGUGGAUGAAGAAAGCCUAUGAGAGCCUGUCCUGGAGCCUAAAACUUGGAGGCACGCUGGCAUGAAGCCAAAGUGGAUCAAACUGACAUUUUCGUAUUUGUAUGCAAAGCUUCUUUACUUUAAAGAGAGAUUUUUGGCACAAGGAGAACAACUCUGGCCCACAUGAUCCUUAAGGAUUUAUUCUUGCUGCUGGCCCUGUGUAUGGAGAAGGCACUGAGCCCCAUAUAACGGCUUAUGGAAAACGGUGAUUUCUUUUAAAGCUUCCUUCAGUCACUUUAACCUGUGGCCCACAGACAGUCAAAGUGAUGUCUCACUGCUAUGACUUGGCAGUUUUCUCAUGGUUUUACCUACCAAUGCUGCAUCCUGUUUAGAUCAGCAGUAUCCUUGUCCUUAAGCUCAAGCCCUGGCAACGGUGAUGAUGGAAAUGCCAGUACUGCCUCAAUAUGUCACUUCACAUUGGUCUCCUGAGACAAGAAGGCCACUUGUUUCCAGAAAGGCACAAUAAUUUGUGUCAGCUCGUUAAGCUGGCAUACUGCUGAUUCAGGCAUUGAGCUCUAACAGAGCACUUUGUCCCAGCUCUGUAAUGGCCUGUCCUUUGUUUUCCCUAAGGGAUAACUAGGAUAAAUUCCUGGAGGGAAAGGUCAAAGAACUCAGGAAAGAUUGUUAUUGUCAAUCUGAAUUAAAACUGAUGCUGGAAAUAUAAGAUUUGAAUGCAGCUUUCAAUAACUGGAAGGGAAAAAAAGUAACCUAUCUCUGGGAGUAUGUGUAAAUCUUAAGCUCGUGACAGACUACAGUUUCUGCCUGUAUCCAAGUGCCUUAGAAGGAAGGAGGGAAGAAUUUAACAGAUUAGGAAUGGAACUUGUUAACAGCUUUAUUAAUUCAUUUUUGAGACUAAGAGAGGAAGUUUAUAAAAAAUACGAUAAGGAGAAAAUGCUAAGUGGUCACAGCAAGAUCUUACGCCAGAUAAUUUUGCAAGAGGUGGUAGAUAAUACAAGAAGAGCUGAUUCAAGGAGGUCAAGCAGGACAAUUUUUUGGAGGAUUUGUCUGUGGUUUUGGAUGAUGGGUGGUAUUAAGUAGCUUCUGAAAAAACUACGUAGGGCAGAUGUUCGAGACAGUGGAUCUUAGUGUAUGCUGCAUUCUAGAACUAAGAAGAAAUGGGUGCAGUGUUUUGUUUUCACUUUAUAUCUGCCUGGGUUCAUUAAUUGCAGUUGCUUUUCAGAAGCCUGAAUAGCUGAGACUAGGAGAGUGUGAGAGAGGAGACAGCAAGCACAUUCCUGAGCUGAAAUUACAGCUUAGAAAUUGGUCAAGACUACCUAAUUUUGCAGGGAGAAUCAUAAUGUUUUGCGGAAGGUGGGGAGAGUUGCUUCACAAUAACAGUCCUUUGAUCUCCUGAUAUUAAACAAACUAACUUUUGCAGAUGAGACUGCAGCACCAAUUUAUGUGCUUAACUGGAUGAAGCACUUUAAUACAGGUGUACUUUCAUAACCUCUCCUAUGCAUGCUUCAUCUGCCGCUCCUUUUUACUUUAAAUAGUUGCAAAUAUUGCUAGAGAAGCUGAAAAUGGCCUCACCAUUCAGUUUUCCUGUUAACUGGCAAAUUAGAAAACCCUUCCAUUUUCUGAAUGCUGUAUUUUGCUGACUGCUUGUUUUGAUUUGGUAGUUUAAAAGCAUCUAUAUGAAACUCUCAUCAUAAGAUAUAACUAUUGAGCCACACUUCUCUGUAUCAAACAAAAAGCUGAGGGGGCUGAGCAACAUUUCUUGGUGGGUUUAUACACCUUUUUCUUUGAUAAUCAUGAACCAGUUAAGAAAACAGUCUUUUCUGGAGAAAUUAAAAUUUUAUUGCAGAAUCUUGCAAAAGUGGAGUUGAAACUGAGUAACCAGGUGAAGAUCUUGACCUCUUGCUCAAAUUUGCAAAACAGAUCCUGAAUAAAUUUAUUUUUGAGAUUUGUGGUCCUAUGCCUUCUGUGCCAGAAACAAUUACUUUAUUUUCACUUACACCUACAGAAUGCCAAGCUUGAUUCUUGCUGGGAUCAGAAAAUCCAAAAUACCAUCAGAAAGCAUGAGAUUGACAAAAGUUCUCAACUUCUUGCCAGAAUUACACAUGAAGUUUAAGACUUC